Molecule: long non-coding RNA, 424 nt
Organism: Quercus robur (English oak)
Lineage: Eukaryota; Viridiplantae; Streptophyta; Magnoliopsida; Fagales; Fagaceae
Exons: 2
Source: RefSeq, a predicted model, not a curated record
UUUCUUAGCUCUUCGUCUGCAUGAUUCUUCCUUCCUCUUUUUUUUUUUUUUUUUUUUUUUUUUUUUUUCUUAGCUCUUCGUCUGCAUGAUUCUUCCUUCCUCUUUUUUUUUUUUUUUUUUCUUAGCUCUUCGUCUGCAUGAUUCUUCCUCUCUUUUUUUUUUUUUUUUUUUUUUUCUUAGCUCUUCGUCUGCAUGAUUCUUCCUCUCUUUUUUUUUUUUUCUUAGCUCUUCGUCUGCAUGAUUCUCAUCAAACGAAGAUAGAUGGGAAAUCCAAAAGGGAGGAAUGGGUCAGAUCGGUGCUUGAUCUCUGCCUUCACCGCUGCCUGUCUUCCUCUCCACCGUUGCUUGAUCUCUUCCUCACUGCCAACGACAUGCGGCGGAAAUGGAGGAGCGGAGAAGAGAAAAGGGCAAAGUUUAUUGGUGA